Molecule: ribosomal RNA, 540 nt
Filed under: uncultured bacterium
Lineage: Bacteria
Description: bacterial SSU rRNA
Rfam family: Bacterial small subunit ribosomal RNA
Source: RNAcentral
GAUGAACGCUGGCGGCAUGCCUAAUACAUGCAAGUCGAACGCUCUACCCCAAAAUUAAGGAAGUGCUUGCACAGAAUUAUGCUUGGAAUUUGUAGAGAGUGGCGAACGGGUGAGUAACACGUAGGUAAUCUGCCUUAUAGACCGAGAUAACUGCUGGAAACGGCAGCUAAUAUUGGAUAAGACUACACUUUGCAUGAAGAGUAGAUAAAAGACGCGUUUGCGUUACUAUAAGAUGAGCCUGCGGUGCAUUAGCUAGUUGGUAAGGUAAAGGCUUACCAAGGCGACGAUGCAUAGCCGGACUGAGAGGUUGAACGGCCACAUUGGAACUGAGACACGGUCCAAACACCUACGGGUGGCAGCAGUAGGGAAUUUUUCGCAAUGGGGGGAACCCUGACCGAGCAACGCCGCGUGAGUGAAGAAGGCAUUCGUGUCGUAAAGCGCUGUCAUAGAGGAAGAACGACAAGUGUAGGGAAUGAUACUUGAGUGACGGUACUCUAAGAGGAAGCCACGGCUAACUACGUGCCAGCAGCCGCAGUAAAA